Molecule: ribosomal RNA, 962 nt
Filed under: uncultured bacterium
Lineage: Bacteria
Description: bacterial SSU rRNA
Rfam family: Bacterial small subunit ribosomal RNA
Source: RNAcentral
CAGCAGCCGCGGUAAUACGAAGGGACCUAGCGUAGUUCGGAAUUACUGGGCUUAAAGAGUUCGUAGGUGGUUGAAAAAGUUAGUGGUGAAAUCCCAGAGCUUAACUCUGGAACUGCCAUUAAAACUUUUCAGCUAGAGUAUGAUAGAGGAAAGCAGAAUUUCUAGUGUAGAGGUGAAAUUCGUAGAUAUUAGAAAGAAUACCAAUUGCGAAGGCAGCUUUCUGGAUCAUUACUGACACUGAGGAACGAAAGCAUGGGUAGCGAAGAGGAUUAGAUACCCUCGUAGUCCAUGCCGUAAACGAUGUGUGUUAGACGUUGGAAAUUUAUUUUCAGUGUCGCAGGGAAACCGAUAAACACACCGCCUGGGGAGUACGACCGCAAGGUUAAAACUCAAAUGAAUUGACGGGGACCCGCACAAGUAGUGGAGCAUGUGGUUUAAUUCGAAGAUACGCGCAGAACCUUACCAACACUUGACAUGUUCGUCGCGACUCUAAGAGAUUAGAGUUUUCGGUUCGGCCGGACGAAACACAGGUGCUGCAUGGCUGUCGUCAGCUCGUGUCGUGAGAUGUUGGGUUAAGUCCCGCAACGAGCGCAACCCUCACUUUUAGUUGCCAUCAUUAAGUUGGGCACUCUGAAAGAACUGCCAGUGAUAAGCUGGAGGAAGGUGGGGAUGACGUCAAGUCCUCAUGGCCCUUACGUGUUGGGCUACACACGUGCUACAAUGGUAUCUACAACAGGAAGCAAGACUGCGAAGUUAAGCAAAUCCCUAAAAGAUACCUCAGUUCGGAUUGCACUCUGCAACUCGAGUGCAUGAAGCUGGAAUUACUAGUAAUCGUGGAUCAGCGUGCCACGGUGAAUGCGUUCCCGGGUCUUGUACACACCGCCCGUCACACCAUGGGAGUUGGUUCUACCUUAAGGCAAGGUUUUAAACCCUUGACCACGGUAUAGUCAGCGACUGGGGUG